AUGCAUGACUCGUUCGCGGCCGCAGCCGUCCCGGUGGCGCCGGUGGACCACGACGAGACGGCGGCGGGCGAAGAGGCGUGCACCCUGCGGGUGCGGUUCCCAGACGGGCGGAUCAUCUGCAAGAGCUUCGGCGCCGGGCGUCCGGUGGCGCUGCUGUUCCGGUACUGCCACUCGGUGGUUACUGCCGGCUACGACGGGACAGUCCGGACGCUGCCGUUCUGGCUCGUGAGGCUCGCGGGCGGCGCCACCGAGGAGAUACGUCCAGACGAGUCCCCGCUGCGGGAUCUCGGGCUGCAUCACUGCACAGUCCAUCUGGUUUUCUGUUUUUAG
Molecule: ribosomal RNA, 330 nt
Filed under: Triticum aestivum (bread wheat)
Lineage: Eukaryota; Viridiplantae; Streptophyta; Magnoliopsida; Poales; Poaceae
Description: partial small subunit ribosomal RNA
Source: RNAcentral